This is a non-coding RNA of Danio rerio (zebrafish), 72 nucleotides long. The record is from Rfam. Lineage: Eukaryota; Metazoa; Chordata; Actinopteri; Cypriniformes; Danionidae.
GCCGUGAUCGUAUAGUGGUUAGUACUCUGCGUUAUGGCCGCAGCAACCCCGGUUCGAAUCCGGGUCACGGCA